AACGAACGCUGGCGGCAUGCCUAACACAUGCAAGUCGAACGAGACCUUCGGGUCUAGUGUCGCACGGGUUCGUCACGCGUGGGAACCUGCCCUUAGGUUCGGAAUAACUCCCCGACAGGGGUGCUAAUACCGGAUAAUGUCUUCGGACCAAAGAUUUAUCGCCUUUGGAUGGUCCCGCGUUGGAUUAGCUAGUUGGUAGGGUAAAAGCCUACCAAGGCGACGAUCCAUAGCUGGUCUGAGAGGAUGAUCAGCGACACUGGGACUGAGACACGGCCCAGACUCCUACGGGAGGCAGCAGUGGGGAAUAUUGGAAAAUGGGCGAAAGGCUGAUCCAGCAAUGACGCGUGAGUGAUGAAGUCAGUAGGGUUGUAAAGCGCUAUUAACCGGGAUGAUAAUGACAGUACCGGGAGAAUAAGCUACGGCUAACUCCGUG
This 433-nucleotide ribosomal RNA is filed under the name uncultured bacterium. Its description in RNAcentral is "partial 16S ribosomal RNA". It matches the Rfam family "Bacterial small subunit ribosomal RNA", at positions 29 to 507 of the family's 1533-position model. The record is from RNAcentral.